RNAcentral lists this long non-coding RNA (196 nucleotides) under Lonchura striata (white-rumped munia). Its description in RNAcentral is "domestica (Bengalese finch) lncRNA (ENSLSDG00000001460.1)". The record is from RNAcentral. Lineage: Eukaryota; Metazoa; Chordata; Aves; Passeriformes; Estrildidae.
UGAGAUAUGGACAGGUGAGGCGCAGGUGAGCAGCAGCCGCUCACCUGCCAGCACCCACAGCGUGCCGUUCACCACCGGGGUGCGCGGGGCGUCUGUGGGACAGGUGAGACAGGUGAGAUAUGGACAGGUGAGCAGCAGCCGCUCACCUGCCAGCACCCACAGCGUGCCGUUCACCACCGGGGUGCGCGGGGCGUCU